Non-coding RNA from Acanthosepion pharaonis, 105 nucleotides. The record is from the annotation of a GenBank genome assembly. Lineage: Eukaryota; Metazoa; Mollusca; Cephalopoda; Sepiida; Sepiidae.
UACGGCUACAUCACGUUGAAACAUCGGUUCCUGUGCGAUCACCGAGUUAAGCAACGUCGAGCCUAGUCAGUACCUAGAAGGGUGACCGCUUGGGAAUACCAGUUG